GCUUGCUUUAGCAUAUACUAAAAUUCUAACUCUACAGAGAAGGUUAGCAUGGCCCCUGUGCAAGGAUGACACACAAAUUCAUGAAGCAGUCCAUAUUUCU
RNAcentral lists this small nuclear RNA (100 nucleotides) under Peromyscus maniculatus bairdii (prairie deer mouse). The record is from RNAcentral. Lineage: Eukaryota; Metazoa; Chordata; Mammalia; Rodentia; Cricetidae.